Long non-coding RNA from Xiphophorus hellerii (green swordtail), 803 nucleotides. RefSeq lists it as uncharacterized. The transcript has 4 exons. The record is from RefSeq and is a predicted model, not a curated record. Lineage: Eukaryota; Metazoa; Chordata; Actinopteri; Cyprinodontiformes; Poeciliidae.
AAAAAGUGUAUAAAGACAUCCAGCUGCAGAUUAUCUGUUGAACUCAGCAGCUUUUCAAGAAUCUGGUGACAUUCGUGCAGAAGGAGCUAAAACUGGCAAGUUUGAAGGGUGCUCUCUCAGCCACCAUCAGGGGUGUUGUCAUGGCAACGGCAGCCCCUCCUCUCAACGUCAGCGUCGGGUAGCUGGAGGAUGAAGCCGCAUGCAGCUCCUGUGUGUCUCUCGGAGCCUCUCAGAGGGCAGUGUGUGAUUUGCGCCGGGAGGGAAACGAUCUUCCCAUGACUGCUCUGACUCGCUCCAGCUGCUCUUCUUCAUCACCCACCUUCACCCUCGGACCCCAAGGGACCAACUGAUUGAGCUCUUCUACAGCCGUCAUGUCCUGGUUGUUCUUGGACUGGUUCGUGCCCCUCUACCUGCUGGUGUCGGUGCUGGUGCUGGCAGGCUUCGGAGCGUGUCUGUACUUCCUCGAGCCCGGGCUGCAGGACGCCCACAAAUGGAGCAGCAAAACGAUCCGGCAUCACCCGCUGGUGGCCAGCGUGAACUGCAGAGAUGACGAUAGCAAUGCCCUGAUCUGAUCCGAUGAUGGAGAGGGUGGCCGGCGGAGGACGCGUCCAGACAGUGGAGGGGCAGACAGGACACCGAGGGGACAGGGAGGAGAGGAGAGCGUAAGGGGGGAAACACCUUGACAACGAAAAUAGUAGCAGGAAGAGGGAUCAUUUAUCAUUCCAACUUUUCUUUGCUCUCUGUGGAUUUUCCCGACAGGGAUCAAAGAAAGUAAGGCAGAUAUGCUGGACUGCAGAAGAAGA